This 102-nucleotide small nuclear RNA is filed under the name Saimiri boliviensis boliviensis (Bolivian squirrel monkey). Lineage: Eukaryota; Metazoa; Chordata; Mammalia; Primates; Cebidae. The record is from RNAcentral.
CUGCUUUUGCAGCAUGCAUCGUAAAAUUGGAAUAAUACAAAGAAGAUAGCAUGGCUUCUGCAUGAGCGUAACACAGAAAUUCAUGAAGCAUUCCUUAUUUUU